UACGUAGACCUCAAGCGUUAUCCGAAUUUAUUGGGCGUAAAGAGCAUGUAGGAGGUUUUGCGCGUUUCACGUUAAAAGAUCACCGCCUAACGGUGGAAGUGCGUGGGAUACGGCAAGACUAGAGGAGGUUAGAGGUGCAUAGAACGCACGGUGUAGGGGUGAAAUCCGUUGAUAUCGUGCGGAAUACCAAAGGCGAAGGCAGUGCACUGGGACUUUCCUGACUCUGAGAUGCGAAAAGCGUGGGGAGCAAAAAGG
This 255-nucleotide ribosomal RNA is filed under the name uncultured bacterium. Its description in RNAcentral is "partial 16S ribosomal RNA". It matches the Rfam family "Bacterial small subunit ribosomal RNA", at positions 524 to 776 of the family's 1533-position model. The record is from RNAcentral.